CCCGACUGCUAUUUGGGUGAGGAUAAGCCAUGCGAGUUGUAUGGGAUACCUAAAGUUCCCAUGGCAAACUGCUUAGUAACACAUGAUCAACUUGCCCUAUGGAGGAAAAUAACCUCGGGAAACUGAGGAUAAUUUUUCAUAGUUGAAUAGGCUUGGAAAAGUUUUUCAAUGAAAGGGAUAAGAAAAAUGGUUUUUAUCUGCCAUAGGAUAGGAUCGUGGUCGAUUAUGGUUGUUGGCGAGGUAACGGCUCACCAAGCCGAUAAUCGAUAGGGGCCGUGAGAGCGGGAGCCCCAAGAUGGGUACUGAGACAGCGACCCAGGCCUUACGAGGCGCAGCAGGCGCGAAACCUCCGCAAUACACGAAAGUGUGACGGGGUUACCCAAAGUGUUCAUUUAUGAACUGUGAUAGGUGAGUAAUGUCCCCUAUUAGAAAAGGAGAGGGCAAGGCUGGUGCCAGCCGCCGCGGUAAAACCAGCUCUUCAAGUGGUCGGGAUAAUUAUUGGGCUUAAAGUGUCCGUAGCCGGUUUAGUAAGUUCCUGGUAAAAUCGGGUAGCUUAACUAUCUAUAUGCUAGGAAUACUACUAUACUAGAGGGCGGGAGAGGUCUGAGGUACUACAGGGGUAGGGGUGAAAUCUUAUAAUCCUUGUAGGACCACCAGUGGCGAAGGCGCCAGACUGGAACGCGCCUGACGGUGAGGGACGAAAGCCAGGGGAGCGAACCGGAUUAGAUACGUCGGUGCUAGUUAAACGUAAUUCAACUAACAUCAUGCUAAAAACCCGGGUAGUCCUGGCCGUAAACGAUGCAUACUAGGUGAUGGCACGGCCAUGAGCCGUGUCAGUGCCGUAGGGAAACCGUUAAGUGUGCCGCCUGGGAAGUACGGUCGCAAGGCUAAAACUUAAAGGAAUUGGCGGGGGAGCACCACAAGGGGUGAAGCCUGCGGUUCAA
RNAcentral lists this ribosomal RNA (944 nucleotides) under uncultured archaeon. RNAcentral's name for it is "bacterial SSU rRNA". It matches the Rfam family "Archaeal small subunit ribosomal RNA", at positions 21 to 905 of the family's 1478-position model. The record is from RNAcentral.